RNAcentral lists this long non-coding RNA (513 nucleotides) under Rosa chinensis. RNAcentral's name for it is "sRNA RchiOBHm_Chr6g0302481". Lineage: Eukaryota; Viridiplantae; Streptophyta; Magnoliopsida; Rosales; Rosaceae. The record is from RNAcentral.
GACUCUCAAAGUCUCAGACUCUCCCCUUCUCCCCCUGUGGCGCCGUGCUGUCCCCAUUUUGCUUCCACCUUCUAGCCUUCCAGGUUCGAUUAGCGAGUCCCGGCAGUCCGUCGAGCCACCUCCACUGCUCCACGCCUGAACCACGUCCACGGCUCCACUGCGAGUCUGCGACAGUCGCAGUUUCAAAGCUUUAAUCCAGAUCCCAGGUAUUAGAUUUUUGGUUGAUUGAUUGUCAUUGCUGAUGAGUUGUUGAUGAUGGUGGGAAUGGGUUGUUGUCUUGUUGAAUGUUUGAUGAUUGAUUGUCAUUGCUGAUGGGUAAUGGGUUGUUGAUGAUGGGUUGAUAAUUGGGAAUAGAUCUUUGUAUCGGGUUGUUGCUGUUACAAUGAGUCAAUGAUUAAGGUUAGAAAUAACUCAGUAAGCUGCGAAAAAGAGUACAGAAAGAUCACAAUCAUAUUAUCCUUUUCUUUUUUUUCUUUUUUUAAUUUCUGGCUUGUGUUCUUUAAUUAACGGUCC